This 1843-nucleotide long non-coding RNA is filed under the name Salmo salar (Atlantic salmon). RNAcentral's name for it is "lncRNA (ENSSSAG00000099079.1)". Lineage: Eukaryota; Metazoa; Chordata; Actinopteri; Salmoniformes; Salmonidae. The record is from RNAcentral.
CACUGAGCCUGUACUUUGUCAAGGCUUUUCUAAGGUUUUGAUCAGUAACCAUGGUCAAAUAUUUAGCCACGGUGUACUGUCGAUUUAGGGCCAGAUAGCACUGCAUUUUGCUUUGUGUUUGUGUUUCCCAAUAAGCAAUGUAGUUUUGUUUUGACUGUGUUGUAAUUUGGUUUAUUCUGAUUGAUUGGAUGUUCUGGUCCUGAGGCUUCAGUGUUUUAGUAGAACAGGUUUGUGAACUCAGCACCAGGACCAGCUGGAUGAGGGUCCUGAGGCUUCAGUGUGUUAGUAGAACAGGUUUGUGAACUCAGCCCCAGGACCAGCUGGAUGAGGGUCCUGAGGCUUCAGUGUGUUAGUAGAACAGGUUAGUGAACUCAGCCCCAGGACCAGCUGGAUGAGGGUCCUGAGGCUUCAGUGUUUUAGUAGAACAGGUUAGUGAACUCAGCCCCAGGACCAGCUGGAUGAGGGUCCUGAGGCUUCAGUGUGUUAGUAGAACAGGUUAGUGAACUCAGCCCCAGGACCAGCUGGAUGAGGGUCCUGAGGCUUCAGUGUGUUAGUAGAACAGGUUAGUGAACUCAGCCCCAGGACCAGCUGGAUGAGGGUCCUGAGGUUUCAGUGUGUUAGUAGAACAGGUCUGUGAACUCAGUCCCAGGACCAGCUGGAUGAGGGUCCUGAGGCUUCAGUGUGUUAGUAGAACAGGUUAGUGAACUCAGCCCCAGGACCAGCUGGAUGAGGGUCCUGAGGCUUCAGUGUUUUAGUAGAACAGGUUUGUGAACUCAGCCCCAGGACCAGCUGGAUGAGGGUCCUGAGGCUUCAGUGUGUUAGUAGAACAGGUUUGUGAACUCAGCCCCAGGACCAGCUGGAUGAGGGGACUCUUUUCUUUGCUCAGCUCUUGGCAUUGCAGGGCUUGGUAAGGAUAUGAGAGGGGGGUCACUGUAUUUUAGAUUUUUCCAAAACUUAAUUGCUCUUUUUUGAGUUUUUAUUAUUAGUGGAUAUUGGCCUAAUUCUGCCCUGCAUUGUUUGUAGUUUUCCUCUGGACACGUAGGAGAAUCUUACAGAACUCUGCAUGCAGGGUUUCAAUGGGGUGUUUGUCCCAUUUGAUGAAAUAUUGUCUCUCUCUCUCUCGCUCUGUCUCUGUCUCUCUCUCUCUCUCUCUCUCUGUCUCUGUCUCUUUGUCUCUCGUUCUCUCUCUCUGUCUCUGUCUGUCUCUCUCUGUCUGUCUCUCUCUCUCUGUCUCUCGCUCUCUCUCUCUGUCUGUCUCUCUCUCUCUCUGUCUCUCGCUCUCUCUGUCUCUCUCUGUCUGUCUCUCUCUCUCUCUCUCUCUCUCUCUCUCUCUCUCUCUCUCUCUCUCUCUCUGUGUGUACUGUAUAUACCAUUACUGGUAAGCCCCAGCCACAUAGUGUGUUCAAAGCCUCUACUUCUUGUUGACUUCCAUAUGAGUACAGGCCUCAGGCUCCUACAAUGCCAAGCUUUGUUUUCAAAAUGGUGGUGUGUGUGUGUUUUCUCUGAUCUUAAUCCAUCCUACUAUGUUCUCAUGUGCUUCUAUGCGUCAGUGGAACUCCAGGCAGAUACACUCUAUGCUGUCUCCUCUCCCUCCCCUACAGUCUCUCCUUCCCUCCCCCUACAGUCUCUCCUUCCCUCCCCCUACAGUCUCUCCACUCCCUCCCCCUACAGUCUCUCCUUCCCUCCCCCUACAGUCUCUCCACUCCCUCCCCCUACAGUCUCUCCUUCCCUCCCCCUACAGUCUCUCCUUCCCUCCCCCUACAGUCUCUCCUUCCCUCCCCCUACAGUCUCUCCUUCCCUCCCCCUACAUCUCUCCUUCCCUCCCCCUACAGUCUCUCCUCCC